This 497-nucleotide ribosomal RNA is filed under the name uncultured bacterium. Its description in RNAcentral is "partial 16S ribosomal RNA". It matches the Rfam family "Bacterial small subunit ribosomal RNA", at positions 28 to 507 of the family's 1533-position model. The record is from RNAcentral.
GAUGAACGCUGGCGGCGUGCCUAAUACAUGCAAGUCGAGCUAACGGACGAGAAGCUUGCUUCUCUGAUGUUAGCGGCGGACGGGUGAGUAACACGUGGAUAACCUACCUAUAAGACUGGGAUAACUUCGGGAAACCGGAGCUAAUACCGGAUGAUAUUUUGAACCGCAUGGUUCAAAAGUGAAAGACGGUCUUGCUGUCACUUAUAGAUGGAUCCGCGCUGCAUUAGCUAGUUGGUAAGGUAACGGCUUACCAAGGCAACGAUGCAUAGCCGACCUGAGAGAGUGAUCGGCCACACUGGAACUGAGACACGGUCCAGACUCCUACGGGAGGCAGCAGUAGGGAAUCUUCCGCAAUGGGCGAAAGCCUGACGGAGCAACGCCGCGUGAGUGAUGAAGGUCUUCGGAUCGUAAAACUCUGUUAUUAGGGAAGAACAUAUGUGUAAGUAACUGUGCACAUCUUGACGGUACCUAAUCAGAAAGCCACGGCUAACUACGUG